CGGCGGCCCCAGAGACACUCUGGAGGAGCGAGCCGGCAUCAUGUAGGUGCGCCUGGUACGGGCCGUGGCGUAAGUCGCCGGCCUCCUCGUCCUUGUCGGAGAGCUGGGACAAGAGGGAAGGGAACGUUACUUCACCACAGAAGUAACUCAGCACUGAGCCUCCGGAGAGGAGGAGGACGGAGCCGCCCCAGCCGACGAAAACCGCCGCUCCAAUUUCAAACCUGACCGAGCAAACGCAUCAGCGUGUUUUCUUUAAACGUUGCUUAAUAGAGAUCGUGCUGCUGCUGCUGCUUCAGAGAUACUCACUUCUGCUCCCUGAAAUUUGGGUCCAGGUACGUUAAGGCUCCGGCGAAGGUCACCCUGGCGUUGGCGAGCUCCGAGCCGCCGAUUUUAGUGCAUUUCAUCCCGAUGAGGGUGAGGACGCCGCCGAAGAAGCCGGUGAUGACGGCGCAGACCGCCAGGGCUCUGCAGACGUGCAGGGAAGGCCGAGCAUGGAGGGGUAGUCCUUGCAGUCGGACACGCCGGUGGUAUCGGAGAUGCAGUCCCGCCACAGGUUGGAGUAGUAGUUGGACGUGGUCAGCACGAUGCUGCCCACCUCGGAGAAGGUCCAGUACUCGGUGGGGAGGGUGGAGCAGACCAGGAUCCAGCCGCACAGGCAGGACACGAAGCAGCCGAUCUCCAUGUACAUCACCACCGACCUGUACUCCAUGGUGAACAAACCUUUGUGGAGGCUUACGUCCGCACACCGUGGCGCAGUGAGCUGCACAGCCGAGGAAGAUGAGCAGACUCCCCACCAGGCCCAGUAUCCAGCCACGUCUGACGCGCCUGCAUGAGGGAAAGGCCGCGACACAGAGAGAAGCACGACGAACCAGUUAGCAGAGAGCCGCCGCUUACACAACAGCCGUUCGCACUGGCAAACGCAACACACUGCACUCACAGCCGGCCAAGUGGAAAGCGCACGCCGUCGCUAACGUCCCGUCUUUGCGGGCGCCGUCCCCGCCGACCCGCGUGCACUCCAUCCCAAAAAACGUGAGGACCGCGCCGAGCAAACCGAGGCAGAGGCCCGUGAGCAGCAGCCCCCGCACCGCCUGGAGAACCCCGAAGUCCACGCAGUUCACCAGAGCCGUGGAGUCCUCGUAGCAGUCCCUCCACAGGUUGGAAGCUGCUCAGACUCGUAUCGGCCUACCUCCAGUGGUCCAUGGCUAGUGUGCAGCCCACCAAGACCCAGCCCAGCAGGCAGAGCAGCAGGCCCAGAAUCUGAAGCGGUCUCUUCCACAUCCCUCGGUUCUGAUAUAAGAGUUUUUGACGAACGGUGUCGACUCGCUCCUCGAACUGCCCGACAGCGAGGAUCCCGUCCGGCUGCUGCUGCUGCUCCUCGAUAAAGUUGACACGCUGGACAUCGACGAGAGG
Molecule: long non-coding RNA, 1410 nt
Organism: Mugil cephalus (flathead mullet)
Lineage: Eukaryota; Metazoa; Chordata; Actinopteri; Mugiliformes; Mugilidae
Exons: 9
Source: RefSeq, a predicted model, not a curated record